This 18-nucleotide transfer RNA is filed under the name Eurycea quadridigitata. RNAcentral describes it as "partial tRNA-Met". The record is from RNAcentral. Lineage: Eukaryota; Metazoa; Chordata; Amphibia; Caudata; Plethodontidae. RNAcentral also lists the same sequence under 1 other name.
AAUUUCCCUCUUUUACUA